UACGAAGGGGGCUAGCGUUGCUCGGAAUUACUGGGCGUAAAGGGCGCGUAGGCGGCGCUGUUAGUCAGGCGUGAAAUUCCUGGGCUUAACCUGGGGACUGCGCUUGAUACGGCAGUGCUAGAGGGUGGAAGAGGGUCGCGGAAUUCCCAGUGUAGAGGUGAAAUUCGUAGAUAUUCGCAAGAACACCAGUGGCGAAGGCGGCUCACUGGCCCGGUACUGACGCUGAGGUGCGAAAGCGUGGGGAGCAAACAGG
RNAcentral lists this ribosomal RNA (253 nucleotides) under uncultured bacterium. RNAcentral describes it as "partial 16S ribosomal RNA". It matches the Rfam family "Bacterial small subunit ribosomal RNA", at positions 524 to 776 of the family's 1533-position model. The record is from RNAcentral.